Molecule: transfer RNA, 69 nt
Filed under: Cordylochernes scorpioides
Lineage: Eukaryota; Metazoa; Arthropoda; Arachnida; Pseudoscorpiones; Chernetidae
Description: tRNA-Gly
Source: RNAcentral
UGCAUAGGCCGGGAAUCGAACCCGAGGCGCCCGCGUGGCAGGCGAGCAUUCUACCACUGAACCAAAAGC